ACGUGAAGAUGAAGGCGAUGGGCCGUUUCUUUGAAGAUGGCGACAAGGUGAAGGUGACGCUGAAGUUCCGUGGCCGUGAAAUGGCUCACCAGGAACUGGGCAUGAAGCUUCUUCUUCAGGUGAAGGAAGACACUCAGGCGAUUGCCAAGGUGGAGGCCGAGCCGAAGCUUGAAGGCCGUCAGAUGAUGAUGGUUCUCGCGCCGAAAUAACUUAUACCGCCACAGAACUGGCGUAAUGAGCCGCACGGGGAAGUUCGCUUUCCCCGUUGCGCUUUUAACCGACUGCGGUUAUAAGCGCG
RNAcentral lists this unclassified non-coding RNA (298 nucleotides) under Agrobacterium pusense. RNAcentral's name for it is "Rhizobium pusense Long range pseudoknot". The record is from RNAcentral. Lineage: Bacteria; Pseudomonadati; Pseudomonadota; Alphaproteobacteria; Hyphomicrobiales; Rhizobiaceae.